CCGCCCCCGCCGGACCCCGCCGGGCUGGCAACCCUGCCCGCGCUCCCUCCCGGGCAUCCAGGCACAUAAAGGCCUUAUUGCUUCUGAUCAGAGACUGAGGUGGGGCGGCCCCCUGGGCGGCUUCCGGUGCAUACCCUGCCUCUGGGCACGGCCCUGCCGGUCACAGGGGGAGGACAGUUUGAGGAAGUCCCUCUGGCUUCUGACCUAUGGCCCUUGUGCUGCAGCUGCCACCUGUUGGGCUCCCUGGGAAUGGGGUUGCUGGAGCCCAGGCUGGGAUUGGGGCAGGGGAGGUGGUGGGGGUGGGAGGGUAGGGGUGAGGCCUGCACCUCUGCUCAGCACAUGUGGGAGCUCCCUGGGUGGGCAGCCCCAGCCCCACCUCGAGGAAGGCCUUCCUGAACAGCUGGGCUGCAGGGUGUGGAUUUGCAUAGAGGCCUGGGGGGUCAAGUCCCCCCCAAGAGUGAGCUGGAGCAGGAGAAGGGUGGGCUGGUUGGGAAACAGGCCUCCCUCAUCUCUCCUGGCACCGGAGCAUGGUGGGGGUCCCUGGGUGCAGUCCUGGGACAAGGGGCUUUGGCAUCCCUCCCUGGGGAGGGUCAGGCACGGGGCUCCAGGCUAACAAAGGCCCUGGAGAUACUAAGCAGGCUUUAACUGAGAGGCUCCACGUACCACUGACCCAGCAUGGAAGGCUUUGGGCGGUGAGUGGCUGCGCUCAGAGUCCC
RNAcentral lists this long non-coding RNA (716 nucleotides) under Homo sapiens (human). RNAcentral describes it as "HSALNT0256552". The record is from RNAcentral. Lineage: Eukaryota; Metazoa; Chordata; Mammalia; Primates; Hominidae.